GAAACCGAGUCUUAACCGGGCGUUAAGUUGCAGGGUAUAGACCCGAAACCCGGUGAUCUAGCCAUGGGCAGGUUGAAGGUUGGGUAACACUAACUGGAGGACCGAACCGACUAAUGUUGAAAAAUUAGCGGAUGACCUGUGGCUGGGGGUGAAAGGCCAAUCAAACCGGGAGAUAGCUGGUUCUCCCCGAAAGCUAUUUAGGUAGCGCCUCGUGAAUUCAUCUCCGGGGGUAGAGCACUGUUUCGGCUAGGGGGCCAUCCCGGCUUACCAACCCGAUGCAAACUGCGAAUACCGGAGAAUGUUAUCACGGGAGACACACGGCGGGUGCUAACGUCCGUCGUGAAGAGGGAAACAACCCAGACCGCCAGCUAAGGUCCCAAAGUCAUGGUUAAGUGGGAAACGAUGUGGGAAGGCACAGACAGCCAGGAUGUUGGCUUAGAAGCAGCCAUCAUUUAAAGAAAGCGUAAUAGCUCACUGGUCGAGUCGGCCUGCGCGGAAGAUGUAACGGGGCUAAACCAUGCACCGAAGCUGCGGCAGCGACGUUUAUGCGUUGUUGGGUAGGGGAGCGUUCUGUAAGCCUGCGAAGGUGGCCUGUGAGGGUUGCUGGAGGUAUCAGAAGUGCGAAUGCUGACAUAAGUAACGAUAAAGCGGGUGAAAAGCCCGCUCGCCGGAAGACCAAGGGUUCCUGUCCAACGUUAAUCGGGGCAGGGUGAGUCGACCCCUAAGGCGAGGCCGAAAGGCGUAGUCGAUGGGAAACGGGUUAAUAUUCCCGUACUUGGUGUUACUGCGAAGGGGGGACGGAGAAGGCUAUGUUGGCCGGGCGACGGUUGUCCCGGUUUAAGCGUGUAGGCUGGUUUUCCAGGCAAAUCCGGAAAAUCAAGGCUGAGGCGUGACGACGAGGCACUACGGUGCUGAAGCAACAAAUGCCCUGCUUCCAGGAAAAGCCUCUAAGCAUCAGGUAACAUCAAAUCGUACCCCAAACCGACACAGGUGGUCAGGUAGAGAAUACCAAGGCGCUUGAGAGAACUCGGGUGAAGGAACUAGGCAAAAUGGUGCCGUAACUUCGGGAGAAGGCACGCUGACACGUAGGUGAAGUGAUUUACUCACGGAGCUGAAGUCAGUCGAAGAUACCAGCUGGCUGCAACUGUUUAUUAAAAACACAGCACUGUGCAAACACGAAAGUGGACGUAUACGGUGUGACGCCUGCCCGGUGCCGGAAGGUUAAUUGAUGGGGUCAGCGCAAGCGAAGCUCCUGAUCGAAGCCCCGGUAAACGGCGGCCGUAACUAUAACGGUCCUAAGGUAGCGAAAUUCCUUGUCGGGUAAGUUCCGACCUGCACGAAUGGCGUAAUGAUGGCCAGGCUGUCUCCACCCGAGACUCAGUGAAAUUGAACUCGCUGUGAAGAUGCAGUGUACCCGCGGCAAGACGGAAAGACCCCGUGAACCUUUACUAUAGCUUGACACUGAACAUUGAGCCUUGAUGUGUAG
RNAcentral lists this ribosomal RNA (1486 nucleotides) under Salmonella enterica subsp. enterica serovar Bareilly. RNAcentral's name for it is "partial 23S ribosomal RNA". It matches the Rfam family "Bacterial large subunit ribosomal RNA", at positions 673 to 2141 of the family's 2925-position model. Lineage: Bacteria; Pseudomonadati; Pseudomonadota; Gammaproteobacteria; Enterobacterales; Enterobacteriaceae. The record is from RNAcentral.